Long non-coding RNA from Triplophysa rosa, 453 nucleotides. RefSeq lists it as uncharacterized. The record is from RefSeq and is a predicted model, not a curated record. NCBI's taxonomy places the organism in Eukaryota, Metazoa, Chordata, Actinopteri, Cypriniformes, Nemacheilidae. The transcript has 3 exons.
UGAACAAAUUUUGGAAAACCAAGAGGUUGAUAUUGGUGAAGGUGUUGCAAUAGACAGUGAAAAAUGGAAGAAGAUUCAGGCUAAUUUAAAGGACAGCUUGUUUGUAAAAGAACUGGCAGUGUGCAUUUGGAGAACAAGCACACUGGCCAACCGUAGCCUGGAAGGAAAAAGUUGCCCCACCACAAAACCAGAUCCUAGGCCCUCUGACACCUCACAAAUAUAGAGCAAUUAAAGGUUGCUUUCAAAAGUGGCUGGAAGGAAAAGAUUUCGAGGAAGCAGAGCUGAAAGCCAGAGCGGGAAAACUUGGGUGAUAUUUAACAGAACAAAUUCAAGAUAUCAACAAAAAAAUAAAUCAAAAAAGUGAAUUUGCAUAUAUGUAAGCUGCUGAAAACUGUUAAGUAUUUGUAUUUCAGUUAGGUUAUUACUGCCAAUUAUUAAGUAAUGUAUCUCAUA